UGGGGAAUCUUGCGCAAUGGGCGAAAGCCUGACGCAGCCAUGCCGCGUGUAUGAUGAAGGUCUUAGGAUUGUAAAAUACUUUCACCGGUGAAGAUAAUGACUGUAGCCGGAGAAGAAGCCCCGGCUAACUUCGUGCCAGCAGCCGCGGUAAUACGAAGGGGGCUAGCGUUGCUCGGAAUUACUGGGCGUAAAGGGAGCGUAGGCGGACAUUUAAGUCAGAGGUGAAAUCCCGGAGCUUAACUUCGGAACUGCCUUUGAUACUGGGUGUCUUGAGUGUGAGAGAGGUAUGUGGAACUCCGAGUGUAGAGGUGAAAUUCGUAGAUAUUCGGAAGAACACCAGUGGCGAAGGCGACAUACUGGCUCAUUACUGACGCUGAGGCUCGAAAGCGUGGGGAGCAAACAGG
This 404-nucleotide ribosomal RNA is filed under the name Caulobacter vibrioides. RNAcentral's name for it is "partial 16S ribosomal RNA". It matches the Rfam family "Bacterial small subunit ribosomal RNA", at positions 355 to 776 of the family's 1533-position model. The record is from RNAcentral. Lineage: Bacteria; Pseudomonadati; Pseudomonadota; Alphaproteobacteria; Caulobacterales; Caulobacteraceae. RNAcentral also lists the same sequence under 3 other names.